GACGAACGCUGGCGGCGUGCCUAAUACAUGCAAGUGGGACGCAAGGAAACACACUGUGCUUGCACACCGUGUUUCCUUGAGGCGCGUAACGGGUAGGAACCCGUAGGUAACCUGCCUAAUAGCGUGGGGUAACUAUUGCUAACGCUAGCUAAUAGCUCCUGAUAUUUGUUAUUGCAUGAUAAUUUACGGAAGGAUGGAAGCGCAUCACUACUUAUUAGACCUUCGUUGUAUUAGUUAGUUGGUAAGGUAAGAGCUUAUCAAGGCGACGAUACAUAGCCGACCUGAGAGGGUGGUCGGCCACACUGGGACUGAGACACGGCCCAGACUCCUACGGGAGGCAGCAGUAGGGAAUCUUCGGGAAUGGACGAAAGUCUGACCGAGCAACGCCGCGUGAGUGAAGAAGGUUGUCGGAUCGGAAAGCUCGGUUGUAAGUCAAGAACGUGUGUGAGAGUGGAAAGUUCACACAGUGACGGUAGCUGACCAGAAAGGGACGGCUAACUACGUG
RNAcentral lists this ribosomal RNA (505 nucleotides) under uncultured bacterium. Its description in RNAcentral is "partial 16S ribosomal RNA". It matches the Rfam family "Bacterial small subunit ribosomal RNA", at positions 28 to 507 of the family's 1533-position model. The record is from RNAcentral.